UUAAUUGAAACCAAAUAUUGAGGUAUGCCACUGUUAAUGGCAUCAUUGGGAUUUCCCCAAUUAAA
RNAcentral lists this transfer RNA (65 nucleotides) under Hermerius intermedia. Its description in RNAcentral is "tRNA-Asn". Lineage: Eukaryota; Metazoa; Arthropoda; Insecta; Coleoptera; Cerambycidae. The record is from RNAcentral.